UAGUCCUUGCUUAAUAAAUCUUGGGUGAUUGAAUAUGAUAGUAAAAUUUCAGGGAGGUUCUGCCUUUGUUGAGAGAAUAUUAAGCAUGAGGUGGAAGCUACUGAAGGAUAAAUGUUUAUAAUCUGUUGUGCUAAUAAGAGAUCUUUUUGUAAGUUGGUUUGCUGAUGUCCCAGUGCUGUGAGAAUGAGGAAUACCGGUAGGCCUUGGUGCUUGCUGUCGAAAUGGGCAAAUUCAUGAAACCUGGGAAAGUGGUGCUGGUCCUGGCCGGACGCUACUCUGGACGCAAAGCCGUCAUCGUGAAAACAUUGAUGAUGGCACCUCAGACGGCCCCUAUAGCCAUGCUCUGGUGGCUGGAAUUGACCGCUAUUCCCGCAAAGUGACAGCUGCCAUGGGCAAGAAGAUUGCCAAGCGUUCAAAGAUCGAGUGUUUUGUAAAAGUUUAUAACUACAAUCACCUCAUGCCCACAAGGUACUCUGUAGAUAUUCCCUUGGACAAAACUGUCGUCAUCAAGGAUGUCUUCAGAGACCCUGCUCUUAAACGCAAGGCCCGACGGGAGGCCAAGGUCAAGUUUGAAGAGAGGUACAAGACAGGCAAGAAUAAGUGGUUCUUCCAGAAAUUGCGGUUUUAGAUGUUUUUGUUUUAGUCAUUAAAAAUAUAAAAAAAAAAAAAGAA
Molecule: RNA transcript, 672 nt
Organism: Nycticebus coucang (slow loris)
Lineage: Eukaryota; Metazoa; Chordata; Mammalia; Primates; Lorisidae
Gene name: 60S ribosomal protein L27-like
Exons: 1
Source: RefSeq, a predicted model, not a curated record